CCUACGGUGGCAGCAGUGGGGAAUAUUGGACAAUGGGCGAAAGCCUGAUCCAGCCAUGCCGCGUGUGUGAAGAAGGCCUUCGGGUUGUAAAGCACUUUCAGUGGGGAAGAAAGCCUUGGGGCUAAUACCCUCGAGGAAGGACAUCACCCACAGAAGAAGCACCGGCUAACUCCGUGCCAGCAGCCGCGGUAAUACGGAGGGUGCGAGCGUUAAUCGGAAUUACUGGGCGUAAAGCGCGCGUAGGCGGUCUGAUAAGCCGGUUGUGAAAGCCCCGGGCUCAACCUGGGAACGGCAUCCGGAACUGUCAGGCUAGAGUGCAGGAGAGGAAGGUAGAAUUCCCGGUGUAGCAGUGAAAUGCGUAGAGAUCGGGAGGAAUACCAGUGGCGAAGGCGGCCUUCUGGACUGACACUGACGCUGAGGUGCGAAAGCGUGGGUAGCAAACAGGAUUAGAUACCCGGGUAGUC
This 464-nucleotide ribosomal RNA is filed under the name Vreelandella stevensii. Its description in RNAcentral is "partial 16S ribosomal RNA". It matches the Rfam family "Bacterial small subunit ribosomal RNA", at positions 338 to 795 of the family's 1533-position model. The record is from RNAcentral. Lineage: Bacteria; Pseudomonadati; Pseudomonadota; Gammaproteobacteria; Oceanospirillales; Halomonadaceae.